RNAcentral lists this ribosomal RNA (1200 nucleotides) under Triticum aestivum (bread wheat). Its description in RNAcentral is "partial small subunit ribosomal RNA". Lineage: Eukaryota; Viridiplantae; Streptophyta; Magnoliopsida; Poales; Poaceae. The record is from RNAcentral.
AUGCUGUCCCCGGCGACCACCGCCACGGCCGCCGCCUUCCUCUCCGCGGCGCCUGCCUCCUCAUCCUCUACCCACCGCAGGCGUAGCCGUCGCGCUGCUAUCUCCGCCUCCCUCUCGUCCGAAGAACCGCUGCUCAUACGUGCGGCGAGGGGCGAGGAUGGGCUGCCUAGGCCGCCGGCGUGGAUGAUGCGGCAGGCUGGGCGGUACAUGGCGUCGUACCAGGCGCUGUCCAAGCGCCACCCUUCGUUCCGGGAGCGGUCGGAGACCACCGACCUCAUCGUCGAAAUCACGCUACAGCCGUGGCACGCCUUCGCACCCGACGGCGUCAUCCUAUUCUCGGACAUACUCACGCCGCUGCCGGCCAUCGGGGUGCCAUUCGAUAUCUCGGAAUCCAAGGGGCCGGUGAUCCAGUCGCCCGUGCGGACUGAGGAACAGGUCAGGGAGCUCGUUCCCAUAGAUCUCGAUAAGCUCCAGUUCGUUGGGGAGUCGCUCAAGAUUCUGCGCAACGAGAUUGAUGGAAAAGCUGCUUUGCUAGGAUUCGUGGGGGCCCCAUGGACAAUUGCAACUUACGUUGUUGAAGGAGGGAUGACCAACACUUACACAAAUAUAAAGCGCAUGUGCCACACAGCACCAAAUGUCUUGAGGGGCCUUCUCUCUCACCUCGCAGAAGCUAUAUCUGACUAUAUCAUUUACCAAGUAAACUCUGGUGCUCAGUGUAUACAGAUAUUUGAUUCAUGGGGUGGGCAACUUCCACCUCAUGUGUGGGAGCAAUGGUCAAAACCAUAUAUCAGACAAAUUGUGGCUAAGAUUAAGACAGAAUGCCCUCACAUACCACUUGUGCUGUAUAUAAAUGGAAAUGGAGGCUUGCUCGAGCGCAUGAAGGACAUAGGAGUUGAUGUUAUUGGACUUGACUGGACAGUGGAUAUGGCAGAUGGAAGGAGGCGCGUUGGUGAUGGAAUUAGUGUACAAGGGAAUGUGGACCCAGCAUAUCUAUUUUCCCCAUUACCAGUAUUGACUGAUGAAAUUCAUAGGGUUGUGAAAGCAGCUGGUCCGAAAGGUCAUAUACUUAACUUGGGCCAUGGUGUUCUUCAAAAAACACCAGAAGAAGCUGUAGCACAUUUCUUUGAUGUCACAAGGAGCUUGAGAUAUGACACCCUUUUCCAGGGUCAUCUUACUGAAGAAUUGCAACCUGUUGCUUGA